This 133-nucleotide small nuclear RNA is filed under the name Owenia fusiformis. RNAcentral describes it as "partial U2 small nuclear RNA". It matches the Rfam family "U2 spliceosomal RNA", at positions 25 to 156 of the family's 192-position model. From Rfam's summary of the family: U2 is a small nuclear RNA (snRNA) component of the spliceosome (involved in pre-mRNA splicing). Complementary binding between U2 snRNA (in an area lying towards the 5' end but 3' to hairpin I) and the branchpoint sequence (BPS) of the intron results the bulging out of an unpaired adenosine, on the BPS, which initiates a nucleophilic attack at the intronic 5' splice site, thus starting the first of two transesterification reactions that mediate splicing. Lineage: Eukaryota; Metazoa; Annelida; Polychaeta; Sabellida; Oweniidae. The record is from RNAcentral.
GAUCAAAGUGUAGUAUCUGUUCUUAUCAGCUUAAUAUCUGAUACGAUGUCCAUUGGACAUCUUCGAUAUUAAACUGAUUUUUGUACCUGGGCGAAGUGUAAGGGGCUUGCUCCACCUUUGCCAUGGGUUGGCC